Molecule: ribosomal RNA, 169 nt
Filed under: Flavobacteriales bacterium
Lineage: Bacteria; Pseudomonadati; Bacteroidota; Flavobacteriia; Flavobacteriales
Description: partial 23S ribosomal RNA
Rfam family: Bacterial large subunit ribosomal RNA
Source: RNAcentral
GGGUAGCUAUGUCGGGAAUGGAUAAGCACUGAAAGCAUCUAAGUGCGAAACCAACCUCAAGAUGAGAUUUCUUUUAAGGGUCGUUGGAGACUACAACGUUGAUAGGUCACAAGUGUAAAGGCAGUAAUGUCAGAGCUGAGUGAUACUAAUUACCCGUAAGCUUAUUGUA